This 432-nucleotide ribosomal RNA is filed under the name Clostridioides difficile. RNAcentral describes it as "bacterial LSU rRNA". It matches the Rfam family "Bacterial large subunit ribosomal RNA", at positions 2172 to 2602 of the family's 2925-position model. The record is from RNAcentral. Lineage: Bacteria; Bacillati; Bacillota; Clostridia; Peptostreptococcales; Peptostreptococcaceae.
CAGUUUUGGCGGAGCCAUCCUUGGGAUACCACCCUUGUAGUACUGGGACUCUAACCAUAGGCCAUGAAUCUGGUCUUGGGACACUGUCAGGUGGGCAGUUUGACUGGGGCGGUCGCCUCCCAAAAGGUAACGGAGGCGCGCAAAGGUUCUCUCAGUACGGUCGGAAAUCGUACGUAGAGUGUAAAGGCAAAAGAGGGCUUGAUUGCAAGACAUACAGGUCGAGCAAGGAUGAAAAUCGGACUUAGUGAUCCGGUGGUUCUGCGUGGAAGGGCCAUCGCUCAACGGAUAAAAGCUACCCUGGGGAUAACAGGCUUAUCUCCCCCAAGAGUCCACAUCGACGGGGAGGUUUGGCACCUCGAUGUCGGCUCAUCACAUCCUGGGGCUGUAGUAGGUCCCAAGGGUUGGGCUGUUCGCCCAUUAAAGUGGUACGCG